This 494-nucleotide ribosomal RNA is filed under the name uncultured bacterium. RNAcentral's name for it is "partial 16S ribosomal RNA". It matches the Rfam family "Bacterial small subunit ribosomal RNA", at positions 28 to 507 of the family's 1533-position model. The record is from RNAcentral.
GACGAACGCUGGCGGCGUGCUUAACACAUGCAAGUCGAACGGUGAAGCGCCUUCCUUUUUGGUGGGUGUGGAGGAGUGGCGAACUGGUGAGUAACACGUGAGUAACCUGCCCCCUUCUUCUGGAUAACCGCAUGAAAGUGUGGCUAAUACGGGAUAUUCUGGGUCUGUCGCAUGAUGGGUCUGGGAAAGAUAUUGUUUCGGUGGGGGAUGGGCUCGCGGCCUAUCAGCUUGUUGGUGGGGUGAUGGCUUACCAAGGCGGUGACGGGUAGCCGGCCUGAGAGGGUGGGCGAUCACACUGGGACUGAGACACGGCCCAGACUCCUACGGGAGGCAGCAGUGGAGAAUAUUGAACAAUGGGCGCAAGCAUGAUGCAGCGACGCCGCGUGAGGGAUGGAGGCCUUCGGGUUGUGAACCUCUUUCGCCAGUGAAGCAGGCCUGCCUCGUUUGUGGGUGGGUUGACGGUAGCUGGAUAAGAAGCGCCGGCUAACUACGUG